CCGAGCCCGCCUGUCGGAGCUCCUCCCUCCCCAGACUUCUCAGGCGACGUCAGCGGCGGAUGCCGAGGCGGGGAUGAGGGCCCCUGGCCCGCGAUCCUCCCAGCAAGGCUCCCGCCUCGGCCUGAGGCCCGAGAUCUCCGCUUUGUGGUGCCCAGACGACGUGUGCCACACCGGCGGGGCUCGGGCGGGGGCUUGGGAGUGGGGAAGUGAGCCAGGGGCGCUCAAUUUGUCUUCUCUCCCCCCAACCCGCUAGGUUGGAAAGGUUUUCUUUUGGGGAAAUUUCCUCUCCGCAGCCUCACACCCAGUCAGCGGACCCUCCCAUCCAGGAGGAAUCUCCUCUGGUCCCAUCGGCGCGUCUUCCGGGAAUCGCCAAACACCGGAGACAGAGAUUGAAAAGUAACCUUGAGAGAGUCCCUUCCUUGAUUCCAGGGAAAGUUACUAGAGGAUGUGCUCCAACAAAACAUGAGAGCAAGACAAGAAAGAGAAAGACAUGGGAUCCAGAAAAAAGGACCAGGAGAAUGUGAAGGGAAAUGCCAGGGUGAAAGAUAUGUGGCAGAAUUAGAGAGCAAUCGUUUUCACUGGAGAAGGAAGAUGGCAGACUCCAAGAAGGAAGACUGAGAUAUAGGAAGAAUGAUUAUCAGCUGAAAAUGAAGAUAAAGCAGA
Molecule: long non-coding RNA, 663 nt
Organism: Eubalaena glacialis (North Atlantic right whale)
Lineage: Eukaryota; Metazoa; Chordata; Mammalia; Artiodactyla; Balaenidae
Exons: 4
Source: RefSeq, a predicted model, not a curated record